This is a long non-coding RNA of Vespa mandarinia (Asian giant hornet), 1631 nucleotides long. The record is from RefSeq and is a predicted model, not a curated record. NCBI's taxonomy places the organism in Eukaryota, Metazoa, Arthropoda, Insecta, Hymenoptera, Vespidae.
AGUCAUUGAUAUCAUGUGCUUGAAGACGUGUUGGUUCGCGUUAUUUCUAUGAAUCUUGAACACCUUUGUAAAAGGAUAUUUCGCAAUGUGAAACGUUUUUUCUUCGAAAUAUAUCAACGCAUCGAUCAUGAAAAAUAUAGACGUCAUUAAUUGAGGGACACACUCUAACAAAGAACGAAAGCUACGUUCAUUAACCUUUUGUUAGUUAUGAGGAGAGGUAAAGAAAAAAAUACAAAAAAAAAAAAAAAAGAAAAAAAAAAUAGGCGAUAUUAAUAAUUAACUCUCGCCAUGAACAUACACUGUGCAAUGUUCUCAAACGAGAAAACAGGAUAUGAACGUUGGUAUACGAGCGAUCGAGUGACUGCUAUGCCCGUUACAAAUGCAAAUUCGUAAGUGCGAUCGAUAAGAAUCGAUUACGUUCUACGUCAAUAAAUUAUAAUUAAACAUUCAAUAUUAUUAUUUACACUUUCUUUGGUUGCUAUUUCAAUCGCCACAUCGCAACAUACAGUAUGCAAAUUGAUUACCCAAAUUUGAUGACUUGGCAUGACUUUUGAUAUCUUUACGAUAACAUACGAUAAUUUCUCUUAUCAAUGACCAAUCGACAGUCGAAUUUUAUAUCGAAUGGUCACAUGAAAGGCGGAUAGUAUGAUAUAAUAUUAUAUAAUGCAAUUUUUAUUUACAUAAACAUGUUACGUAAAUUAGAUGCACUUUUAAAGAACUUUGAAAGCAAAUAAUCAUCGUCGACAUCGAUACCGAAGGAAAAUCAAAAACGGUUUAUUCGCAAUUUUCAAGAAAUUUUGCGAUAAUUUCAUUCCUUUUUUUUUCUUCCUUUUUUUCUUUUUCUUUUUUUUUUUUUUUUUGUUUUUGUUUUCGACAUGUAUAAUUUCAAUUAUCCUAUACAAAUUUCAAGCUCGAAAAAUAGAUUAGAAAGGGAAAAUAUUUAUGAUCGAUUAGAAUUAAGUUACGAGCGAAAGAAAGUGAGAAUGAGAAAGAGUGAAAGAGAAAGAAAAAAAAAAUAAAUAAAAUCGAUUUUGAAGAUAUACAAAGAUAUUUAUACAUUAUCUAUAUAUUACACACACAUAUAUAUAUAUAUAUAUAUAUAUAUAUAUAUAUAUAUAUUAUGUACCGAUUUGACGAUAAAGAAGAACUUCGUUGUGUGUGGCGAGUUCCCUAUCAAUCAGUUGAACAAAUUGAGUUACAUGUGGGUCGAUGGCAUAUCGGACACGUGAUGCGCCUUCGUACGUAUAACGCGAUCAAAUGAGCCUGCGUUUGCUCACGUACACGUACUUACGUAUACGUAUUGUGUUUCCCGCUUCGUAACCAGACGAUCGUUGGACGCCAUUCAUAUUUUUCUUGGCUUUCGGUCAUAUGUCAGGGUCGAUAGGUGAUCAUAUGUGCAUAUACAUUUGUACAUAUAUAUAUAUAUAUAUAUAUAUAUAUAUAUAAAUAUAUAUACUACAAUCUGAAGAUGGAAAUUAGGAUGACGUUGCAGUUUUCUUUAAGAUUUAUUUUUUAAUCGAAUAUAUAUGCUCGUAAGCGAAUGCGUUCAUGAAAAUACGAAAUAAGAAAUAGAAUGAACGCGAAAAUAAGGCGUGAGCUUGCAUUGACUCUGAUCGUCGUUCUUGAUCGAU